RNAcentral lists this transfer RNA (72 nucleotides) under Inhella sp. RNAcentral describes it as "tRNA-OTHER". It matches the Rfam family "tRNA". Rfam says of the family: Transfer RNA (tRNA) molecules are approximately 80 nucleotides in length. Their secondary structure includes four short double-helical elements and three loops (D, anti-codon, and T loops). Further hydrogen bonds mediate the characteristic L-shaped molecular structure. tRNAs have two regions of fundamental functional importance: the anti-codon, which is responsible for specific mRNA codon recognition, and the 3' end, to which the tRNAs corresponding amino acid is attached (by aminoacyl-tRNA synthetases). tRNAs cope with the degeneracy of the genetic code in two manners: having more than one tRNA (with a specific anti-codon) for a particular amino acid; and 'wobble' base-pairing, i.e. permitting non-standard base-pairing at the 3rd anti-codon position. Lineage: Bacteria; Pseudomonadati; Pseudomonadota; Betaproteobacteria; Burkholderiales; Sphaerotilaceae. The record is from RNAcentral.
GCUGGCUGAAAACGCUAUGCGGCUCGCCUUGUAAGCGGAAGGUCGUCAGUUCGAUUCUGACAGCCGGCACCA